This 478-nucleotide ribosomal RNA is filed under the name uncultured bacterium. Its description in RNAcentral is "partial 16S ribosomal RNA". It matches the Rfam family "Bacterial small subunit ribosomal RNA", at positions 28 to 507 of the family's 1533-position model. The record is from RNAcentral.
GAUGAACGCUGGCGGCGUGCUUAACACAUGCAAGUCGAACGAGCAGUGGAGGCGGUUACCUUCGGGCGGAAGGCUUCAUUUCGAGUGGCAGCCGGGUGAGUAACGCGUGGGUAACCUGCCACAACUAGGGGGAUAACAGUUUGAAACGACUGAUAAUAUCGCAUAAGACCGCAGCACCGCAAGGUGCGGGGGUAAAGACUCCGGUGGUAUGAGAUGGACCCGCGUGCGUUUAGCGAGUUGGAAGGGUAAAGGACCACCAAAGCGACGAUCGAUAGCCGGACAGUGAGGAUGACCGGCCACACCGGGACGGGGACGCGGCCCAAACUCCUACGCGAUGGGGCAGUGCGGAACAUAGCACCACGGGGGAAACCCUGAUGCACCGAGGCCGCGUAAGUGAAGAAAUAUUGCGGGAUGUAAUGUGCUAGCAGCAGGGAAGAAAAUGACGGUACCUGAGUAAGAAGCCCCGGCUAACUACGUG